CUUGAAUGAAUUUAGAGAAUUGAAUGCCGUAACUUUGCUCGUUGUGUGAAGGCGUUUGAAACACAAACAACGAAACUAAGCAUGUAGACGCCUUUACAAUCUUGGUUUAGGACUCCGGUUCAAUCCCGGACGCCUCCACCA
This 141-nucleotide transfer-messenger RNA is filed under the name Sulfuricurvum sp. Its description in RNAcentral is "partial transfer-messenger RNA". It matches the Rfam family "transfer-messenger RNA", at positions 231 to 374 of the family's 374-position model. From Rfam's summary of the family: Bacterial tmRNA, also known as 10Sa RNA or SsrA, is named for its dual tRNA and mRNA-like properties. Lineage: Bacteria; Pseudomonadati; Campylobacterota; Epsilonproteobacteria; Campylobacterales; Sulfurimonadaceae. The record is from RNAcentral.